This 261-nucleotide ribosomal RNA is filed under the name uncultured Methanomicrobiales archaeon. RNAcentral describes it as "partial 16S ribosomal RNA". It matches the Rfam family "Archaeal small subunit ribosomal RNA", at positions 1079 to 1338 of the family's 1478-position model. Lineage: Archaea; Methanobacteriati; Methanobacteriota; Methanomicrobia; Methanomicrobiales. The record is from RNAcentral.
GGGGAUGGUGGGGACGACUGUUGGGACCGCCUCUGCUAAAGAGGAGGAAGGAAUGGGCAACGGUAGGUCAGCAUGCCCCGAAUUAUCUGGGCUACACGCGGGCUACAAUGGGUGGGACAAUGGGUAUCGACACCGAAAGGUGAAGGCAAUCUCCUAAACCCAUCCGUAGUUCGGAUUGUGGGCUGCAACUCGCCCACAUGAAGCUGGAAUCUGUAGUAAUCGUGUCUCAAAAAUGGCACGGUGAAUAUGUCCCUGCUCCUU